Molecule: ribosomal RNA, 253 nt
Filed under: uncultured bacterium
Lineage: Bacteria
Description: partial 16S ribosomal RNA
Rfam family: Bacterial small subunit ribosomal RNA
Source: RNAcentral
UACGUAGGGUGCGAGCGUUAAUCGGAAUUACUGGGCGUAAAGCGUGCGCAGGCGGUUCGUUGUGUCGGUGGUGAAAUCCCCGGGCUUAACCUGGGAAUGGCCAUGGAAACUGGCGAACUGGAGUGCGGCAGAGGGGGGUGGAAUUCCGCGUGUAGCAGUGAAAUGCGUAGAGAUCGGGAAGAACAUCGGUGGCGAAAGCGCUCUACUGGACCGCAACUGACACUCAGGGACGAAAGCUAGGGGAGCGAAUGGG